RNAcentral lists this ribosomal RNA (456 nucleotides) under uncultured Alphaproteobacteria bacterium. Its description in RNAcentral is "partial 16S ribosomal RNA". The record is from RNAcentral. Lineage: Bacteria; Pseudomonadati; Pseudomonadota; Alphaproteobacteria.
UACGAAGUUAGCCGGAGCUUCUUCUACGGGUACCGUCAUUAUCGUCCCCGUCGAAAGAGUUUUACAACCCGAAGGCCUUCAUCACUCACGCGGCAUGGCUGGAUCAGGGUUUCCCCCAUUGUCCAAGAUUCCCAACUGCUGCCUCCCGUAGGAGUCUGGGCCGUGUCUCAGUCCCAGUGUGGCUGAUCUUCCUCUCAGAACAGCUAUCGAUCGUCGCCUUGGUGAGCCGUUACCUCACCAACAAGCUAAUCGAACGCGGGCUAAUCCUUCGGCGAUAAAUCUUUCUCCGCUAGGACGUAUACGGUAUUAGCUGCAGUUUCCCGCAGUUGUUCCGUACCGAAAGGUAUAUUCCCACGUGUUACGCACCCGUCCGCCGGUGAUGUAUUGCUACACCCCCUAGACUUGCAUGUUUGAGGCCUGCCGCCAGCGUCGUUCUGUAGCCACGGAGUCAACUAC